UGGCAACACUAUUUGAGACACAUCCUACA
Molecule: non-coding RNA, 29 nt
Filed under: Mus musculus (house mouse)
Lineage: Eukaryota; Metazoa; Chordata; Mammalia; Rodentia; Muridae
Source: RNAcentral